Molecule: ribosomal RNA, 460 nt
Filed under: uncultured bacterium
Lineage: Bacteria
Description: partial 16S ribosomal RNA
Rfam family: Bacterial small subunit ribosomal RNA
Source: RNAcentral
CCUACGGGUGGCAGCAGUGAGGAAUAUUGGUCAAUGGACGAGAGUCUGAACCAGCCAAGUAGCGUGAAGGAUGACUGCCCUAUGGGUUGUAAACUUCUUUUAUAUGGGAAUAAAACGUUCCACGUGUGGGAUUUUGUAGGUACCAUAUGAAUAAGGAUCGGCUAACUCCGUGCCAGCAGCCGCGGUAAUACGGAGGAGCCGAGCGUUAUCCGGAUUUAUUGGGUUUAAAGGGAGCGUAGGUGGAUUGUUAAGUCAGUUGUGAAAGUUUGCGGCUCAACCGUAAAAUUGCAGUUGAAACUGGCAGUCUUGAGUACAGUAGAGGUGGGCGGAAUUCGUGGUGUAGCGGUGAAAUGCUUAGAUAUCACGAAGAACUCCGAUUGCGAAGGCAGUUCACUGGACUGCAACUGACACUGAGGCUCGAAAGUGUGGGUAUCAAACAGGAUUAGAUACCCCUGUAGUC